UUCUUAUCUAGAGAGGUGGAGGGACUGGCCCUACGAUACCUCGGCAGCGGGUUUUAUCAUGUGAUAAAACACUGUGCCAAUUCCAGCAAAUGCGUGCAUUUGAAAGAUAAGGA
This 113-nucleotide non-coding RNA is filed under the name Bacillus coahuilensis. RNAcentral describes it as "SAM-I sequence". It matches the Rfam family "SAM riboswitch aptamer (S box leader)". Rfam says of the family: The SAM riboswitch is found upstream of a number of genes which code for proteins involved in methionine or cysteine biosynthesis in Gram-positive bacteria. The SAM riboswitch acts at the level of transcription termination control. The predicted structure consists of a complex stem-loop region followed by a single stem loop terminator region. RNAcentral also lists the same sequence under 1 other name. Lineage: Bacteria; Bacillati; Bacillota; Bacilli; Caryophanales; Bacillaceae. The record is from RNAcentral.